Molecule: RNA transcript, 7789 nt
Organism: Lutra lutra (Eurasian river otter)
Lineage: Eukaryota; Metazoa; Chordata; Mammalia; Carnivora; Mustelidae
Gene: KDM4D
Gene name: lysine demethylase 4D
Exons: 3
Source: RefSeq, a predicted model, not a curated record
CUCAUACCUCCCAGAAGCCUCUGCGUCCAGGGCCAGGGCCCAGGACCCGGAAGCAAACCCCAAGCUCUUUCACCGCACUUCAGAGGCAGAGACGGAGACCAAUCCGCAGCAGGCAAGGUGGAAGUGGGCGUGACGACAACAAGGGGCGGGGCUGAAACGGCCCAGGGGGCGGGCAUUUGAAAUCACUGCUUUAGAGUAGACCCUAAACAUCAUUUUAUACCUUCAGGAACCAAUUACUUAAUGUGUCUUCCGUCUUUCCCUUCCCCGACCCCCUCCCAGACUCCUUCAUUCCGGUGCUGCGUGGACGGAAAGCCCCGGGUAGCCGACACCAGGUUCCCGGCUAGCGAGAGAGAGCGUAGAGAAGGAUUACACCAAACUGUGUAAAUCCUACGGCUCCUGCUUCCUCUCUCCUGAGCUAGACCCAACAAGCCUAGAGAGCUGGGCUACGGAAAAACUAGUGUUUUCAUUUAAUUGGAUAUGAAGAAAGAACAAAUAUGUACGGGGGCAACCACGAUCUUUACAAAGAACAUAAGUUCCAGGAAAGCAGGAACCUUGUCUCUCUUGUUCACUGGUGUAUCCUCUGCAUAUAGAACAGUGCCUGGCACAUAAUAGGUGCUGAGAGAAAAAAGUAAUUUACAUUCGGCUAGUCUGAAAUCCAGGUUUGACAUGAAGAUACGCCAAGAAAGAUGGUUUCUUUUCAGGAAAGAAUCACUAAAUGAGAAGUCAUAUGGCUAUCAGGCUAUAUAUAUAUUAUCAAAAUUCUAAUUCGGUCAGCCCUACCCCCAGUCCAAUUACAACUGUAAUUUAAACCAACCUCCCUCUUCUUUCAAUUGAAUCAUUGUCCCCAAUUCCAGUAAACCCUCUUGUUUACCAAGUUACCAACCCACAAGCUGAAAACUUUACUUGAAAAUGUUUCCUUGAGGCUUUUAAUAAGAAAAUGAAGGGGAAAAACCCAGUGGUCACAAGUCAGAAAUCACAUUUAAAAGUAAGCAUAAAUAUAUAAACAUAAUGGCAUUUGUUUAAAUUUUUUAGGUAGAAAAUGAUCAAUUUUCUAAGACGAAAGCUGAAACUUUGUUUUGACAAGAAUAGGGAAAAAAAGUAGCUUGCCUUACACCAACAAAUUCCUGAUUUUAAAUGAAGGUGCUCUGGGGCCCAGACAGAUGACCCAGCUUCAAAAUGAAAUUUGCUGCUGGUCCAGGCUAGCUUACUAGAUAAUAGUACACUUUAACCACCUUUUACAUAAUCUGAGCAUAUGGCUACCUCAUUAGUUGACCAGCCCAUAAUUAUCUAGAUAGUUAAAAAUGAACAUAUUAAAAAACAGUUAAAACUAAGCAACUAAAAUGGGGAAAAAUAGACAGGCAUACCAGGCAAAUUCUAAGCAAUUCCAACCAAAAACUAUGUAGCAACAUGAAUUAUCAAAAGGAUUUUUUAAACAGAAUAGCAUUAACAAACAUGAAUAGGGCCAUCUUUAUCGAAUCAUCAAGAAAAAUCCACUAGGAAAAUAUUACAGUCAUGAAAAUGUAUGCAACUAUUACAUAGUCUGGAAAAAUAAAGCAAAAAUAAAGAAUUAAAAGGAAAAACACAAUUACAAUGGGAAUUUUUUUAAAGGACGUUUUUCUCAGAUUGAUAGGUCAAGCAGACAGAUUAACAACAUUGAUGCAUUGUGUGUAUAGAAAAAUAUCCUUAUUGCAUUUAUAUAUGCAUAUAUAUUUGUAUAUUGCAUUUAUAGGUUUAUAGAUUUAUAGAAAAUCCUUUAAAACAAGAGAACACACAUCAUAUUUAAUAAACAUUGAAGAUUUACAAAUUUUAAUCAAAUAGCACCCAAAUAAGUUUCAAUGAAUGCUUAUAUAUAUUUCUUAAUGAUAAUAUUUAGUUUUGAAAAUUUUGAACUUUAUGUAAAUGUUCAAAAUGUUUAUAUGAAUGAAUUGUGUAUACUGUGUAGCUGUAGUAGACUACAUAGAAUUUCAUUGUGUAAAAAUACACAAUAUAUGUUAUUUAUUCUAACAGUUGUGUUUUCCAGUAUGGGUGUUACAGAUAAGGCUACUAUGAACCUUCUUAUGAAUGUGCAGAGAUGCAUGUGUGUACAUUUCAUUUGUAUAUAUCCCAUUCUUGUUCUUGUUCCAUAGUUGCACCACACUUGAUACUAUCCAGCUUUCCACUCACCUGGUGGGUGAUAGUAAUCUCUUAGUGAGGUCUGAAUUUGCAUUUUCUUGAUUACCAAUCACUUUACAUAUGUUUAAUGUCCAUUUGGAUUUCUUUUGUGACGUAUCUCUUUAAGUCUUUUUUCUAUUGGUUCCUCAGAGCUCUUAAUACCUUAGCCGUCAGUUCUGUCACUUAUUUGUGCUACAUGUGUAUUUUCCAUUUCUUGGCUCCUCAUUUUGGUAUAUUUCGACAUAUAAAAAGUCUUUAAUAUUUGGGUGUUUUGAUUGAUUGGUCUUUUCCUUUCUAUUUAGUGCAUGGUAUUGAGAAAUCUUCCCUACUUUACAGUUAUAUAAAUAUUCUUGGAUAUUAUUUUCUGAAAUUCUUAUAGUUAUAGCCUACACAGUCCCACUAGGAAUUCAUUUUUGUGCAUAGUGUGACAGAGGGGGCUUGAAAUCUGGUAAAGCAAGUCUUCUAGUCUUGUCUCUCUUUUAUGAUUCCUGGCCCUUUGUGCCUCAAUAUAAAGUAUGUAUGUUCUACAAAAAUACUUUUGGGAUUUUGAUUAGAAUAACAUUGAAUCUAUUGAUCAAUAUAAGAAGAAUUGACAAUUCAACAAUAUUGAAUCUUUAAAUCUAUUAAUACAUUAUGUCUUUUGAUUCACUUAAGUCUACUUUAAUUGCCUCUCAGUAAUUUGUUUUACUAUCUUUACAGAAGACUUGCAAAAUUUUGUUAGCUUUAGCCUCAGCCGCUAAAUUUUUAAUACUAUUGUAAAUGGCCUUGUUCUUAAAUUUUGCUGUCUAAUUGGUGUUGGUAUAUAUAAAUCGUUUUUUAUAUAUUGCUAUUUUAAAUUCAGAGACCUUUCCAAACCCUCUUAUUAAUUAAAAUAGCUUAUUUAUAGGUCUUUUGGAUUUUUCACAUAUGCAGUGAUAUCUGGGAAUAAUGACAACUUUGUUUCUUCCUUUCCAAUCUUUCCCCUCCCCCUCUUUUUUUUCUUUGAUGUCUUUGUUGGAUAGGACAUCCAGGGCAAUGUUGAAUAAAGAAAUCACAAUCAUCCUUGUCUUUUUCCUGAUCAGAAAGGAAAAACUUUUAACUUUUCCUUCUUAAGUAUGAUGUUUCCUGAAGGUUUAGGGUAGAUGCAUUUUAUUCAAUAAAAUUUCCCUAAAAUUUUUAGUUUGCUAAAUGGAUGGUGAGUUUUAUCACUUUCCUACAUCUAGUGAGGUUCUCUUUUAGUCUGUUAGUGUGUUACAUAUUAAUUUUUUUUGCUUAAUCGUCAACCUUUCAUUCUUGAAAUAAACCCAUCUUGAUCGUGAUGAAUUUAUUGCAGGAAUCAGUUUACUCAAAUUCUCUUUAGGACUUUUAUAUCUAUGUUCGUAAGUGAGAUUAGCGCAUUAUGUUCCUUUCUCAUAGUGUCCUCGUUGGAGACUUAUCUCAUAAAAUUUGUAACAUAAAAUGUGUUGGAAAUUUGUCUCUUUGGGGAAAUUUGUUUAAGGUUGGUGUCAUUUCUUCUUUGAAUGUUUGGUAGAAUUUGUUGAUUAGGUCAUCUGGGCUUCGAAUUUUCUUUAUGAAGAGAGUUAUAGAUGUACUUAGUGUUCUAGUUCUUCUUGUGUCCAUUUUGUUAUUAUGUUUUUCUAAGAAUUUGUUUUAUCUGAAUUUUAAAAUAUAUUGAUUGGGUUAAAGUUGUUUGUACUACCUUUUUCCUUUUUUUUUUUUUUUUAAUGUCUGCCAUUGUUAUAGUGAUGAUUUUUUUAUCUUUAGUGAUAUUGGUUAUUUGUGCCUUCUAUUUUUGGUCUUUGCUGUUUUCACCAGAGGUGAGGUGCCUGGGUGGCUCAGAUGGUUAAGCAUCUGACUUCAGCUCAGGUCAUAAACCCAGGGACUUGGGAUCCAGUCCUGCAUCGGACUCCUGGCUCAGUGGGGAGUCUGCUUCCCCCUCUCCCUCUCCCCCUUUUUAUGCUCUCUCUCUCUCUCUCUGUCUCAAAUAAAUGAAUAAAAUAUUAAAAAAAAAAAAAACUCUUUUCACCAGAGGUUUGUCGAUUCUAUUCAGCUUUUCAAAAAAAACCAACUUUUGGUUUUGUUCAUUCUCUCUAUUUUAUAUUGGUUUUAUAUUUCAUCAAUUUCUGGUUGUAUUUUUAUUAUUUUCUUCUUCUACCUUUUUUUUUUUUUUUUUGCUUUUUUUCUAACUUCCUGAGAUGGAAUUUUUCAGACUUCUUUUGUUUCCUUUCUUAUUUAUUUAAGUCUAUAAAUCUUCCUUUUAAUACGUUUUACCAGUAUCCCACAAGAAAUGCAGAAUACCCAUAAAGUAGUUCCUAAUUUCAUCUUUAUUUCUUUCUGAUUAAAGGUUUGUAUAGAAAUUUAUUUUUAAUUUGAUAAAAUUGAGUGUUUUCUACAUGUCUUUUUAGUAUUAAUUUUUAACUUUAUUGUUUCUAAUUAUGUCCUGCCUGCUUUUAGCCCUUUGACAUUUGUUAAAACUUGUUUUAUUGCCACAGUUUUAUGGUCAAUUUUGUAAAGUUUCCAUAGUGCUUGAAAAAAAAUUACAUUUUGUGGUUUGGGAGUAUAAAGUUUGAUAUAUGCCCAUUAGGUCAAUUUUUAGAUUGCAUUGUUCAAAUAUUCUAUAUUGUUCUAUAUUCUAUACAAUGUUACAUUGUUCAAAUAUUCAAAUAUUUGGUCAGUUAGUAGAGUCCUGGUUUAUGUCUAUCUUUCUUGGGUCCCUGUCACUCUCAAAAGUGUGUCAGAUUAGGUGAUAAAUGAUAUGAUGUAAUUUAAAGUUAAGAACCACUCUUAAUAAAAUCUGAAAUAAAUGUAGAAUUUCUACUAAAUCAGUAAACAUUCACUAUUUUACUAGAGAUCAUAUCUAAUUAUGUAAGACUUCCAUUCCUGUCCAGCUCAAAAAAAAAAAAAAAAAAAAAGAAAGAAAGAAGAAAAAAGAAAAAAGCUAUGACUACUGGAAAAGAAGAGAAAUAAUUUUUGUGGGUUUUUUUUUUUUUUUUUUUUCCGUAAAAUAUCACCAUCUGUGUGGAAAUACAGAACACUCUUGAGUCAGUGGUCAGGCUAGUAUAACUAAUAGGAAAAAGAGGUAAAAGUGAAACAAUAUAUAGUUUAAAAAUAAUGAAAAUUAACAGAAAAAAGUGUCAUCACAAUACACUCAAAAAACUAACAUGAUCUUAAGAAUGUAUCUAAAGCAACAGAUACAUUAUGGAUAAAAUUCUGAAACUCUUUUGAAAUAUGUACAAGAUCUGAGUAAAUGGAGAAAUACCAGUUAAAGAAUGGGAAUUCUCAGUAUGGGAGCUAUGUGUACCUCAGAUUUUUCUCUAACUCAUAAAAUUUCAAUUCAAAUCAAUAGGAUUUUUGCAGAAACUGAAAAAUGUGUCCUAAAAUUAAUGCUGAAAUUUAACUCUACUAAUCUACCAAAUUAAUUCUGGAAAAGUACAUAGGGACUUGCCUUACCAAUUAUCAAUAGUAAUUGUAAAGCUAUUAUAAUUGAAAUGGUGUAGGCUCAGCACAGAAAUGGGCCACUUGGUGGACUUGAAUGGAAAGUUUAGAAAGAGAUCCAUGCUUAUAAUGGAACUUGGAAUAUGAGAGUGGAGGAUUCCAACUCAGUGGGGGAAAAUGGUGGUAGACAAUUAGAUUUCUUAAAAAAACAAAAGCAAAAAUAACAAUAUAUAUCCCUACCUCCCAACUGCAGUGACACAACAUUCUAAAUGAAUGAAACAGAUAAAGAUGAAAUACAAAGAAAACAAAAGAAAAUUAAAUCUUUGUGACUUCAAGAAACAGUGGGUAACUUAAACAGGGCAUACGUAAACAAAUCAUAGUGGAAAAGAUUAACAAGUGUUAAGUUUGAUUUUUCAAAAUAACUAAAAAACUGCCAUAAGCAAAUUUAAAUAGAGAUGGUAGGAUGAGGUAGGAUACUUACACCAAUACAGUAGACAUAGCAUUGGUAUCACUUUUAAAGACAUUUAAAGAAUUUAAAGAAUUCUUACAAAAUCAGUAGAAAAACAAAACUAACUGAAAAAAUGAGCAAAGGAUGUAACUGGUAAUUCAUAAAACUGAAACCCACAGAAGGUCAAUAAUCAAUGAAAAAGCAUGUCACCUCAUCAGGAAACAAGCCCACACAAUAAAAUAAAAGGGGAUAUGUUACUUUGCCAAUCAGAUAGUUAACUAAAGCUUUGACAUUAUCAAGUGCAUCUGGGGGUAUGGAGAAAUUCUCUUACUCUGCUAGUGCAUGUGUUAAUUAUGAAAAUCACUAGGUAAAGCAAUUUGACCAUGCCUAAUAAAAUACAAAAUGUACUUUCUGUAUCACCUAAAAGUAUGUGCCCUAGAUAAAUUUUCACAUACAAUUUUUAAGAACACAUGUAAAAGGUUUUUAAUGCAGCAUUGUUUAUAAUAAAAAACAGUGGAAGUAAUCUAAAUACCAACUAAUAGAGAAAUGCGUUAAAUAUAUUCUUAUGACAGACUAUAUACACAUAUAUAUAUAUGUAUAUAUGAAUUGAAAUAAUGUUGAAUUUAAAAAUUGAAAAAAUAGCAUAUUUGUAAUGAAAUUUAUAUAAAAUAACAGAUACACAAAACAAUACUUCAUAUUAUUAGUUGAUACACAACACAUAUACACAUACAAGUGAAAAGACAUCUACCAAUCAGAAAUGCACCAAAUUUAUAAUUGUUGUUGUUUAUGGGGCUGGAGAGGAAAAGCAAAUUGGGAUUUGGGGUUUACAUCAUCUGAAACAUUUAUUUCUUCUAUUUAAAAAUACUUGAAGCAGGAAUAAGAUUCUUUAGGAUGUCUGUUCUCACUACUUCUAUUCAACAUACACUGAAGAUUCUAAUCCUAGGGCAUUUAGGCAAGAAAAAAAAGGCAUCAAAGUUGGAAAGGAAGAAAUAAAAUUAUCUUUAUUGACAGAUGGCAUGAUUUUGUAUAGAGAAAAUCUUAAGGAACCACUAAAGGACUACUAGAAUGAGUAAGUUCAGCAAGAUUUCAGGAUGCAAGACCAUUAUAUAGAAAUCAGUUGAUUUCUGUACACUAGCAAUGAGCAAUCUGAAUUGAAAAUAGAAUUAAGAAAACAAUUCUGUUUGCAUCAAAAGAAUAAAAUGCUUAGGAGUAAAUUUAACAAAAGUGUAAGAUUUCUACGUUGGAAACUACCAAACAUUAAAGAAGAGCUAAAUAAAUGGAAAGAUAUUCCAUAUUCAUGGAUCAGAAGACUUAAUUUUGUUAAGAUGGCAGUACUUUCCAGAUUGAUCUAUGAGUUCUGUACAAUCCUAUUAGAAUUCCUUCUGUGCCCCCCCCAACCGUAGAAACUAAAAGUUGAUAUAUAAACACAAUGACUUGGAGUCGCCAAAACAAUCUUGAAAAGGAACAAAAAAUUUAGAGGAUUCACACUUCCUGAUUUUAAAACUUACUAUAAAGCUGCUAUAAUUAAGACAUUGGUAUGAGUGUGUGUGUGUGUAUACACACACACACACACACACACACACACAAUUAAAUGGAAUGAAAUUGAGACCCCGAAAUAAACCUUUACGUAUAUGGCCAGUUGAUUUCAACAAAGGUUUCAAGACAAUUCAACAGUGAAAGAAUAGUUUUUUCAACAAAUGUUGCUGGAACAAUGGAUAUCCACAUACAGAAGAAUGAGUUUGGAUCCCGACCUCAUGCCAUAUACAAAAAUUAAGU